GCGCCCUUGUUGCAGCGGUAACACACAAUCUAUCAAUAAUUUGGGUCUCAUAGUUUAGAUUGGGUCUGGGGUUCGACUCCCCAAGGUUGCA
Mycena leptocephala is the source of this 91-nucleotide non-coding RNA. NCBI's taxonomy places the organism in Eukaryota, Fungi, Basidiomycota, Agaricomycetes, Agaricales, Mycenaceae. The record is from the annotation of a GenBank genome assembly.